CCUGGACCAGCUCCUGGAAGAGGAACACGGCCUGGGGUCUGGGCCGCCGCUUGCCGUCGUCUCGGCUGCCGCUGCCGGGCAGUUAAGGGGGCGCUGGUGGGGGCGCGCUGCUCGGGGAGCCGGCGGGUGACGCCUGGGCUGUGCGGCUGGGGAGGCGCCCAGGGAGGGGUGCGGAGGAACGAGUGAGGAAAGGAAGCUGCAUGAAGGAAAAUGGCGCAGUAAAUAAUGAGAAAGCAUGAGCCUAUGAAUCUAACCUCAUCUAUGAUGGUCUGCAGCUGGGAGCAACCAGAUCAGUGUCAGUCCCUUUGCAGCCAUUGGCUGGGAGCCUGCGUGUUACCUGGAAUGGUACUUGAAACAUGUCACCCUAGCUGUACCUUCACUGUGGGCUGGGAGGCGAGUCAGUCAGGAUCUGCAUUAUGGAAUGUUUGGAUGACAAGCUUGUAUUUGCAAAAGUACACACCCUGUGGGAGGUGCUCUGUACAUAUGCUGAGAUACUGCACAUAAAGUUGCCUCUGAAGCCCAAUGAUCUGAAAACCCGGUCCUCAGCCUUUGAUAAUUUCAGCUGUUUUAUGAAAGUCCUCCAUGUGGAUGAAAGUAUCAUCAAGCCGGAGCAAGAGUUUUUCAUUGCCCUAUUUGAGAAGAGCUGCGUGAAUGACUUUUAUAUUCAGGAUAGAGAUACAUUCUUCAAUCCAGCCACUAGAAGCUGCAUUGUAAGUCUAAACCGAGUUUAGCUGCUGUCUUGGGGGUGAUUUAGUACCUGCUGUUGAAUUAUCAGUGAUUUGGCUUGGUUGCUUUGGUUUGGUUUUUAAAAGCUGCCUAUAAAAAGGAAAAAAAGGGAAAGAAAAGAAAUAUGCCUACAGAUUCCUGUUAGGAUAGUAAACGGUGGCUGGUUGGUUACCCUGUAUAAACCACACACUCUCUUAAAAUCUUUUUAGGUUUACUUCAUCCUUUCUCAGAUCAAGUAUCAAGUAAGGGAUAGUGUUAAAAAAAAUUUUCGGGAUUAACAGGCUUGUGAGCUCUGGGAUCUGCAAGGCAGCUUUCCUUCCCCAUUGUGUAAGUCAAAUGGCAGAAAUGAAAUAAAGCACCUCAUAUAUCCUCCGGUGUUAACAGGAAAAGGCUAAUAUUCUUGACCUUGUUUCUUCCUGGGUAAAAUGAAGACAAUAUGUCAGGAGGCGAGACGCUCACUUAGGGCAAGAACCAUGUUCUUUUGUUCACUGCUGAAUCCUAGGCACUGGGAAGGCUGAGUUUAACGAGUGAAUGAAUGAACUGUAGUUCCCCCAGAGUUACCAUGUGGGGCAGUGCGGAUUAGCAGCUAAGAGCAUAGACUCGAGAAGGGAGGGUACAGCUCAAGUGAUGGGGUGCAUCCUUAGCACGCAUAAGGUCCUGGGUUCAGCCCCCAACACCUCCUCUAAAAUAAACCAAAAACCCUAAUUACCUCCCCACCCCCCACCAGAAUUACCUUAUUAUCUCCCCACCACCAAAAAAAAAAAAAGAGAAGUGGCCAUGAGCGAAGACUCAGGCUGGAACACCUGUGCAGGUUUCUCGCUGUCGACCUUGUAAAAGUCAUUUAGCCUCUGUGUUUAUCAAGUUCCUCAUCAAUAAAAUGGGGAUAAUAAUAGUACCCACCUCGUAGAGUUGCUAUGGGGAUUAAUGAAUCUGUGUCAAUGUUAGAACAGCCCUGGCUAAUAGUAAGUACUAUGCAUCUGUCAGCUCUUUUCAUAAUUAUUGACAGAUGUUAUUAUCAACCAAAGAAGUAUUAGUUCUUUGUAAGGGAAAUGCAUGUUAGAUCAUUUCAUUUAUCAUUUUCUGUAAUUCAGGCUUUUUCCCUCUGAAAUACCAUUUUCUGUCUGUGCACUAGGAAGCCACAGGGCUUUCCAAAUUUCAUCUGUCUGGGUUCUUGUCAUGAUGGCAGUACUGCAGAGUGUUGACAAUUUUUAGGGACUCCUCUGAGAUGACAGCAACCCCUCAAAUUCAGGAGCACUUCUCUAACUGAUAACAUCUCGCAUGAAAUGGAGUUUUUAAAAUGUAACAGCCUCAGAUGCUUAAUGAUGCCAUAAAUGCAAGGAUGUUAUAUCUAAGCUCUUUAA
Long non-coding RNA from Camelus dromedarius (Arabian camel), 2087 nucleotides. RefSeq lists it as uncharacterized. The transcript has 4 exons. Lineage: Eukaryota; Metazoa; Chordata; Mammalia; Artiodactyla; Camelidae. The record is from RefSeq and is a predicted model, not a curated record.